RNAcentral lists this transfer-messenger RNA (398 nucleotides) under Planctomycetota bacterium. Its description in RNAcentral is "Planctomycetes bacterium (freshwater metagenome) transfer-messenger RNA". It matches the Rfam family "transfer-messenger RNA". Rfam says of the family: Bacterial tmRNA, also known as 10Sa RNA or SsrA, is named for its dual tRNA and mRNA-like properties. Its role is to liberate the mRNA from a stalled ribosome. Lineage: Bacteria; Pseudomonadati; Planctomycetota. The record is from RNAcentral.
GGGGGCGAUCUGGUUUCGACCGGGCGAACGGAAGUGUGGUGAGCGUGCCGUGGUUGAUCGGAUGGCCACGUAAAUAUCCGAUCGCACUACAACUGCUGAACCGCAGUUGACCCUGGCGGCCUAAGUAGGCCUCCCCAUGUCGUGAUCCCCGCCUGAGGGGUUGCGGCGCGGACGUAAGUCAGGCUCGCUUGGGCUGGAAAUCCCGCAAGGGGUUAUGCUGGUGGAAGCCCGGGCUAAAACUCACAACCGGCUAGUUGCUCUCAAACCUGCUGUUCGGUGGGAGAGGAAUGAACACGACUGGCUGCCGCAAGGCAGGCCCGUCAACUAGAACCUGCUACGCAUGUAGAACACCACAUGGAAGCGCUUCGGGACCGGGGUUCGACUCCCCGCGCCUCCAA